Molecule: ribosomal RNA, 811 nt
Filed under: Chryseobacterium indologenes
Lineage: Bacteria; Pseudomonadati; Bacteroidota; Flavobacteriia; Flavobacteriales; Weeksellaceae
Description: bacterial SSU rRNA
Rfam family: Bacterial small subunit ribosomal RNA
Source: RNAcentral
UGAGGUAACGGCUCACCAAGUCUACGAUCUUUAGGGGGCCCUAGAGGGUGAUCCCCCACACUGGUACUGAGACACGGACCAGACUCCUACGGGAGGCAGCAGUGACGAAGAUUGGACUAUGGGUGAGAGCCUGAUCCAGCCAUCCCGCGGGAGUGAGGACGGCCCUCGGAUUUGUAAUCUUCUUUUGUUUCGGGAUGGACCUACCCUCUUGAGGGUAGCUGAAGGUACUAUACGAAUACUCACCGAACAACUCCGUGCCAACUCCCCCGCUACUACCGAGGGUACACGCAUUGUGCUGAUUUAUUGUGUUGAAAGGGUCCGUAGGCUGAUCUGUUUGUCAUUGUUGAAAUCUCAUAGCUGAACUGUAACUCUGCCAUUGAUACUGCACUUAUUGACUGUUGUUGAAGUAAGUGGAAUGAAUUUUGUAGCGUUGAAAUGCAUAGAUAUUACUUAGAACACCAAAUGAGAAGGCAGGUCACUAACCAACACCUGAACCUAAUGGACGAUAGCGUGGCGAGCGAACAGGAUUAGAUACCGUGGUAUUCCACGCCAUACACGAUGCUAACUCAUUUUUGUGGCGCAAGCUUCAGAUACUAACCGAAAGUGAUAAGUUAACCACCUGAGUCGUACGAACGCAAGUUUGAAACUCAAGGAAUUGACGGGGGCCCGCGCAAGCGGUGGAUUAUGUGGUUUAAUUCUAUGAUUCGCGAGGAUGCUUACCCAGGCAUAAUGCGAAAUGACAGGUUUAGAGAUAGACUUUUCUUCGGACAUUUUUCAAGGUGCUGCAUGGUUGUCGUCAGCUCGUGCCGUG